Molecule: long non-coding RNA, 875 nt
Organism: Daucus carota subsp. sativus
Lineage: Eukaryota; Viridiplantae; Streptophyta; Magnoliopsida; Apiales; Apiaceae
Exons: 3
Source: RefSeq, a predicted model, not a curated record
CAUAUCCUAUCUAUCCCCUCGACAUCUACAAUCGCAACAAUCUUACCAAUUAUAAUAGUUAAAACUUACGACUGGAAUCAAAGUUCCAUUUUUGUAUUUUUGGUCGAUUGUUGAUUUGUUAUCCCGGUAGGAAGCUUUUUCUAGAUUUUUGUCCGGCAUAUCAUUUUUACCUAAUCUGCAUGUUAUUUCUUAUAGUUGCUGAAAGUUCAAGAUCCGGCACUUUCCCAUUCCGAUUUAGAUGAGAAACAAUGAAGAAAGUGCUUCGUCAGAUCAUCCAUGUAUCUCCUCCAACAACCAUUCCACUUCGCCAGAUCUGCAAGUGUGGGAUUUUCCAAGUCUCGGCUGAAAAGCCUCAACUUCACAAAGUUGAGAUUUAUCCGAGAAAUGGUCAAGUGUUGGCAAUUUGCAAGAACUGGGCGCUGGGAUGUUGCAGGGGAAUCAUUUCGAGCUCCCCAGAGGCACCCGCAACUCGAAACCGGAGGCACCUGGUUCGAGAUCAUAUUUUAGGGACGUAAUUGCCUCCAUUUUUUAUCAUAAAUUUGGGAAGGACGGAAGAUACCUACUAAGUCGUAAUUACAUGACUAUGAAGGUUUGAUGAAUUGUUUUACCCGGAAACAAAACCUAUGAGAUUAUGCAAUAGGCUCUAAGGACAUUUUUCUCGAACAAGAUUAAUUUUCAAGCAUCAAAGAAAGGAGAUAGUGUAUAAGAUUACUUCGAAGAUGAGAUGAAUUACUGUUAGUUUGUGUUAACUGCAUGAAGAGUAAGAGAAGAGUUGAAGCUCUCUUCACAUUUCUGAGAAUAUUAGAAAGUUCAUGCUGAAAUGUGCACACUGUACAGUAUUAUUGUUUUUAUACAUGCAUGGAAAACUUUCACUA